This 253-nucleotide ribosomal RNA is filed under the name uncultured bacterium. RNAcentral's name for it is "partial 16S ribosomal RNA". It matches the Rfam family "Bacterial small subunit ribosomal RNA", at positions 524 to 776 of the family's 1533-position model. The record is from RNAcentral.
UACGGAGGGUGCAAGCGUUAUCCGGAUUCACUGGGUUUAAAGGGUGCGUAGGCGGGCAGGUAAGUCAGUGGUGAAAUCUCCGGGCUUAACCCGGAAACUGCCGUUGAUACUAUCUGUCUUGAAUAUCGUGGAGGUAAGCGGAAUAUGUCAUGUAGCGGUGAGAUGCUUAGAUAUGACAUAGAACACCCAUUGCGAAGGUAGCUUGCUACACGAUCAUUGACACUGAGGCACGAAAGCGUGGGGAGCAAACAGG